CAGUCGCCGCGGUAAUACGAAGGGUGCAAGCGUUAAUCGGAAUUACUGGGCGUAAAGCGUGCGUAGGCGGUGAGUUAAGUCUGCUGUGAAAUCCCCGGGCUCAACCUUGGAAUGGCAGUGGAUACUGGCUCGCUAGAGUGUGUCAGAGGAUGGUGGAAUUCCCGGUGUAGCGGUGAGAUGCGUAGAGAUCGGGAGGAACAUCAGUGGCGAAGGCGGCCAUCUGGGACAACACUGACGCUGAGGCACGAAAGCGUGGGGAGCAAACAGGAUUAGAUACCCGCGUAGUCCCUGUCUCUUAUAC
This 301-nucleotide ribosomal RNA is filed under the name uncultured bacterium. RNAcentral describes it as "partial 16S ribosomal RNA". It matches the Rfam family "Bacterial small subunit ribosomal RNA", at positions 509 to 807 of the family's 1533-position model. The record is from RNAcentral.